This 85-nucleotide transfer RNA is filed under the name Felis catus (domestic cat). It matches the Rfam family "tRNA". From Rfam's summary of the family: Transfer RNA (tRNA) molecules are approximately 80 nucleotides in length. The record is from Rfam by way of RNAcentral. Lineage: Eukaryota; Metazoa; Chordata; Mammalia; Carnivora; Felidae.
ACCUGGGUGGCUCAGUCAGUUGAGCGACUGACUUCAGCUCAGGUCAUGAUCUCGCGGUCUGUGGGUUCGAGCCCCACAUCAGGCU